Molecule: ribosomal RNA, 393 nt
Filed under: uncultured bacterium
Lineage: Bacteria
Description: partial 16S ribosomal RNA
Rfam family: Bacterial small subunit ribosomal RNA
Source: RNAcentral
AUACGGAGGAUGCGAGCGUUAUCCGGAUUUAUUGGGUUUAAAGGGAGCGUAGGUGGGAUAUUAAGUCAGCUGUGAAAGUUUGGGGCUCCACCUUAAAAUUGCAGUUGAUACUGGUUUCCUUGAGUACGGUAUAGGUGGGCGGAAUUCGUGGUGUAGCGGUGAAAUGCUUAGAUAUCACGAAGAACUCCGAUCGCGAAGGCAGCUCACCGGGCCGGAACUGACACUGAUGCUCGAAAGUGCGGGUAUCAAACAGGAUUAGAUACCCUGGUAGUCCGCACAGUAAACGAUGAAUACUCGCUGUUUGCGAUACACUGUAAGCGGCCAAGCGAAAGCGUUAAGUAUUCCACCUGGGGAGUACGCCGGCAACGGUGAAACUCAAAGGAAUUGACGGGG